Molecule: ribosomal RNA, 207 nt
Filed under: uncultured bacterium
Lineage: Bacteria
Description: partial 16S ribosomal RNA
Rfam family: Bacterial small subunit ribosomal RNA
Source: RNAcentral
CGGAUUGUAGUCUGCAACUCGACUACAUGAAGCUGGAAUCGCUAGUAAUCGCAGAUCAGAAUGCUGCGGUGAAUACGUUCCCGGGUCUUGUACACACCGCCCGUCACACCAUGGGAGUCGGAAAUGCCCGAAGCCGGUGACCCAACCAAAAGGAGGGAGCCGUCGAAGGCAGGUCUGAUAACUGGGGUGAAGUCGUAACAAGGUACC